GCAGACAUGGCCGAGUGGUCUAAGGCGAUGGUUUUAAGCACCAUUAUCGAGAGAUGCGUGGGUUCGAACCCCACUGUCUGCA
Molecule: transfer RNA, 82 nt
Filed under: Podospora anserina S mat+
Lineage: Eukaryota; Fungi; Ascomycota; Sordariomycetes; Sordariales; Podosporaceae
Description: tRNA-Leu (TAA) (tRNA-Leu-TAA-1-1, tRNA-Leu-TAA-1-2)
Rfam family: tRNA
About the family: Transfer RNA (tRNA) molecules are approximately 80 nucleotides in length. Their secondary structure includes four short double-helical elements and three loops (D, anti-codon, and T loops).
Source: RNAcentral